Molecule: ribosomal RNA, 499 nt
Filed under: uncultured bacterium
Lineage: Bacteria
Description: partial 16S ribosomal RNA
Rfam family: Bacterial small subunit ribosomal RNA
Source: RNAcentral
GACGAACGCUGGCGGCGUGCCUAAUACAUGCAAGUCGAGCGGACCGAACAGGAGCUUGCUCUUGUUCGGUUAGCGGCGGACGGGUGAGUAACACGUGGGUAACCUGCCCGUAAGACCGGGAUAACUCCGGGAAACCGGAGCUAAUACCGGAUAACACCGAAGACCGCAUGGUCUUUGGUUGAAAGGCGGCUUCGGCUGCCACUUACGGAUGGGCCCGCGGCGCAUUAGCUAGUUGGUGAGGUAACGGCUCACCAAGGCGACGAUGCGUAGCCGGCCUGAGAGGGUGACCGGCCCCACUGGGACUGAGACACGGCCCAGACUCCUACGGGAGGCAGCAGUAGGGAAUCUUCCGCAAUGGACGAAAGUCUGACGGAGCGACGCCGCGUGAGCGAAGAAGGUCUUCGGAUCGUAAAGCUCUGUUGUUAGGGAAGAAGAAGCGUCGUUCGAACAGGGCGGCGCGGUGACGGUACCUAACGAGAAAGCCCCGGCUAACUACGUG